AUUGAACGCUGGCGGCAGGCCUAACACAUGCAAGUCGAGCGAGCGGCGGACGGGUGAGUAAUGUCUGGGAAACUGCCUGAUGGAGGGGGAUAACUACUGGAAACGGUAGCUAAUACCGCAUACCAUCAGAUGUGCGCAGAUGGGAUUAGCUCGUAGGUGGGGUAACGGCUCACCUAGGCGACGAUCCCUAGCUGGUCUGAGAGGAUGACCAGCCACACUGGAACUGUGACACGUGCUAGAAUCCUACGGGAGGCAGCAGUGGGGAAGAUUGCACAAUGUGCUCAAGUCUGAUGCAGCCAUUCCGCGGGUGUGAAGAAGGCCUUCGGGUUGUAAAGCACGUUCAGCGGGGAGGCGUUACCCGCAGAAGAGGCACCGGCUAAGUCCGUGCGAGCAGGCGCGGUAAUAC
This 406-nucleotide ribosomal RNA is filed under the name uncultured bacterium. RNAcentral describes it as "partial 16S ribosomal RNA". It matches the Rfam family "Bacterial small subunit ribosomal RNA", at positions 30 to 526 of the family's 1533-position model. The record is from RNAcentral.